UGGGGAAUCUUGCACAAUGGAGGAAACUCUGAUGCAGCGACGCCGCGUGAGCGAUGAAGCCCUUCGGGGUGUAAAGCUCUUUCGACGGGAACGAUAAUGACGGUACCCGAAGAAGAAGCUGCGGCUAACUACGUGCCAGCAGCCGCGGUAAUACGUAGGCAGCAAGCGUUGUUCGGAAUUACUGGGCGUAAAGAGUGUGUAGGCGGUGCUCUAAGUCUGCUGUGAAAUCUCCCGGCUUAACUGGGAGGGUGCGGCGGAAACUGGAAUGCUAGAGUGUGGGAGAGGUAAGCGGAAUUCCUGGUGUAGCGGUGAAAUGCGUAGAUAUCAGGAGGAACACCUGUGGUGUAGACAGCUUACUGGACCACGACUGACGCUGAGACACGAAAGCGUGGGUAGCAAACAGGAUUAGAUACCCUGGUAGUCCACGCCCUAAACGAUGCAUACUUGGUGUGAGCGAUUCAUUUCGUUCGU
Molecule: ribosomal RNA, 471 nt
Filed under: uncultured bacterium
Lineage: Bacteria
Description: bacterial SSU rRNA
Rfam family: Bacterial small subunit ribosomal RNA
Source: RNAcentral